AGUUUCUCACGUUGUCCACUAACUACCUAAACCGCACUAUACAGGCAAAUCUGUCCCUCAUUUUUACAGUUUUUUCAGCCUCUCCGAUCUUAAACAAUUUCUAUCCUUUAAUUUCCUUUGCAAAGAUGACCAACAACAACACUGACUCUGCUCUGGAAUUCAAUUUCCCAUCAUAUUCUUCAGUCCCUGCUGCGAUCCUAUUCCACCACCAUCAGAAAAUGCGUAAGAAGCGUACCAAGUUGAUCAAGGUUGAACCCAGUUUAGUUCCUUCUACUAGUAGCGUUACUGUUGUCUCCAAGCCAAAAUAUCAGGGUAAAAAACCUGACCCUUCUGCUCCCAAGAUCACAAUGCCUUGUAGCGAGUGUGGUAAA
Molecule: unclassified non-coding RNA, 371 nt
Filed under: Hevea brasiliensis (rubber tree)
Lineage: Eukaryota; Viridiplantae; Streptophyta; Magnoliopsida; Malpighiales; Euphorbiaceae
Source: RNAcentral